This 3120-nucleotide ribosomal RNA is filed under the name Clavibacter michiganensis. RNAcentral describes it as "23S ribosomal RNA". It matches the Rfam family "Bacterial large subunit ribosomal RNA". The record is from RNAcentral. Lineage: Bacteria; Bacillati; Actinomycetota; Actinomycetes; Micrococcales; Microbacteriaceae. RNAcentral also lists the same sequence under 1 other name.
UUUCAAGAUUCUAAGAGCAAACGGUGGAUGCCUUGGCAUCUGGAGCCGAAGAAGGACGUAUAAAUCUGCGAUAAGCCUCGGGGAGCUGAUAAUAGAGCUUUGAUCCGAGGAUCUCCGAAUGGGGAAACCCCGCCAGGCCCUUUGGGUGACCUGGUGACUCCCGCCUGAAUAUAUAGGGCGGGUAGAGGGAACGUGGGGAAGUGAAACAUCUCAGUACCCACAGGAAGAGAAAGCAAAAGCGAUUCCGUUAGUAGUGGCGAGCGAAACCGGAAGAGGCCAAACCGAUCAUGUGUGAUAUCCGGUAGGAGUUGCAUGGUCGGGGUUGCGGGACUUUCCGUACAGUUCUACCGAGCUGUGAGGGCAAUGAGCGCGAUAUAGACGAAUGGUCUUGAAAGGCCAGUCAUAGAGGGUGCGAACCCCGUAGUCGAAAUGUCGUCGCCUGUCCGGAGAGUAUCCCAAGUAGCACGGGGCCCGAGAAAUCCCGUGUGAAUCUGUCAGGACCACCUGAUAAGCCUAAAUACUCCCAGAUGACCGAUAGCGGACAAGUACCGUGAGGGAAAGGUGAAAAGUACCCCGGGAGGGGAGUGAAAUAGUACCUGAAACCGUUUGCUUACAAACCGUUGGAGCACCCUUGUUGGUGUGACAGCGUGCCUUUUGAAGAAUGAGCCUGCGAGUUAGUGAUAUGUGGCGAGGUUAACCCGUGAGGGGCAGCCGUAGCGAAAGCGAGUCUUAAUAGGGCGUAUGAGUCGCAUGUUCUAGACCCGAAGCGAAGUGAUCUAUCCAUGGCCAGGUUGAAGCGACGGUAAGACGUCGUGGAGGACCGAACCCACUUCAGUUGAAAAUGGAGGGGAUGAGCUGUGGAUAGGGGUGAAAGGCCAAUCAAACUUCGUGAUAGCUGGUUCUCUCCGAAAUGCAUUUAGGUGCAGCGUUGCGUGUUUCUUGCCGGAGGUAGAGCUACUGGAUGGACGAUGGGCCCCAAAAGGUUACUGACUUCAGCCAAACUCCGAAUGCCGGUAAGUGAGAGCGCAGCAGUGAGACGGUGGGGGAUAAGCUUCAUCGUCGAGAGGGAAACAACCCAGACCACCAUCUAAGGUCCCUAAGCGCGUGCUAAGUGGGAAAGGAUGUGGAGUUGCAUAGACAACCAGGAGGUUGGCUUAGAAGCAGCCACCCUUGAAAGAGUGCGUAAUAGCUCACUGGUCAAGUGAUUCCGCGCCGACAAUGUAACGGGGCUCAAGCACGCCACCGAAGUUGUGGCAUUUAUAUUAUAGGCAGGCCUUCGUGGUCCAGCCGUAUGGAUGGGUAGGAGAGCGUCGUGUGGCCAGCGAAGCGGCGGUGUGAACCAGCCGUGGAGGCCACACGAGUGAGAAUGCAGGCAUGAGUAGCGAAAGACGGGUGAGAAACCCGUCCUCCGAAAGACCAAGGGUUCCAGGGCCAGGCUAAUCCGCCCUGGGUAAGUCGGGACCUAAGGCGAGGCCGACAGGCGUAGUCGAUGGACAACGGGUUGAUAUUCCCGUACCGAUGAAGAACCGCCCAAGACAAUCCAGUAAUGCUAAGUGUCUGAAUCCUUGAUUCGAUCCCUUCGGGGUGACGGUCUUGGCCUAGCACACGACCCUACGCUGGGGCGUUUAGCGUAUUAACAGGUGUGACGCAGGAAGGUAGCUGAGCCGGGCGAUGGUUGUCCCGGUCUAAGGAUGUAGGGCAGAAGAUAGGCAAAUCCGUCUUCUAUGUAGCCUGAGACCCGAUGGGUAGUCCUCACGGACGAAAUCAGUGAUCCUAUGCUGCCGAGAAAAGCAUCGACGCGAGGUUCCAAUCGCCCGUACCCCAAACCGACUCAGGUGGUCAGGUAGAGAAUACUAAGGAGAUCGAGAGAAUCGUGGUUAAGGAACUCGGCAAAAUGCCCCCGUAACUUCGGGAGAAGGGGGGCCUGAGGCGUGUAGGGAUUUACUCCUGAAGCGUUUGAAGGCCGCAGAGACCAGUGGGAAGCGACUGUUUACUAAAAACACAGGUCCGUGCUAAGUCGCAAGACGAUGUAUACGGACUGACGCCUGCCCGGUGCUGGAAGGUUAAGAGGAACGGUUAGCACGCAAGUGCGAAGCUGAGAAUUUAAGCCCCAGUAAACGGCGGUGGUAACUAUAACCAUCCUAAGGUAGCGAAAUUCCUUGUCGGGUAAGUUCCGACCUGCACGAAUGGCGUAACGACUUCCCAGCUGUCUCAACCGCGAACUCGGCGAAAUUGCACUACGAGUAAAGAUGCUCGUUACGCGCAGCAGGACGGAAAGACCCCGUGACCUUUACUACAGCUUGGUAUUGGUGUUCGGUGUGGCUUGUGUAGGAUAGGUGGGAGACUGUGAAGCUCGGACGCUAGUUCGGGUGGAGUCAUUGUUGAAAUACCACUCUGGUCACUCUGGAUAUCUAACUUCGAACCGUAAUCCGGUUCAGGGACAGUGCCUGGUGGGUAGUUUAACUGGGGCGGUUGCCUCCUAAAGAGUAACGGAGGCGCCCAAAGGUUCCCUCAACCUGGUUGGUAAUCAGGUGUCGAGUGUAAGUGCACAAGGGAGCUUGACUGUGAGACUGACAAGUCGAGCAGGGACGAAAGUCGGGACUAGUGAUCCGGCAGUGGCUUGUGGAAGCGCUGUCGCUCAACGGAUAAAAGGUACCUCGGGGAUAACAGGCUGAUCUUGCCCAAGAGUCCAUAUCGACGGCAUGGUUUGGCACCUCGAUGUCGGCUCGUCGCAUCCUGGGGCUGGAGUAGGUCCCAAGGGUUGGGCUGUUCGCCCAUUAAAGCGGUACGCGAGCUGGGUUUAGAACGUCGUGAGACAGUUCGGUCCCUAUCCGCUGCGCGCGUAGGAAAUUUGAGAAGAUCUAUCCCUAGUACGAGAGGACCGGGAUGGACGAACCUCUGGUGUGUCAGUUGUUCCGCCAGGAGCACCGCUGAUUAGCUACGUUCGGAACGGAUAACCGCUGAAAGCAUCUAAGCGGGAAGCCGGCUUCGAGAUGAGAUUUCCAUCCCUUUUAGGGUGAAGGCUCCCGGCUAGACUACCGGGUUGAUAGGCAGGAUGUGGAAGCGAGGACUAAAGACUCGUGGAGCUGACCUGUACUAAUAAGCCGAUAUCUUGAAAAC